GAUGAACGCUGGCGGCGUGCCUAACACAUGCAAGUCGAGCGGACAGACGCUGCUCUUGCUGGGCUGACGUGAGGGGCGGGCGGGUGAAUCACACGUGUAUCCCCUACCUGUCUGUGUGGGAUCUCUACGGGACAGCGGAUCUAACACCGGAUGAGCUCUUGAACCUCGUGGUUCAAUGGUGAGAUUCGGUUUUGCUGUCACUUAUCGAGGGAUCCGCGCUGGUUUGGGGAGUUGGUGCUGUAACGGCCUACCAAGGCUACGAUGCGUGGGCGAGCUGAGAGGGUGGUCGGCGACACUGGAACGGAGACACGGUCCAGACUCCUACGGGAGGCACCAGUCGGGAAUGUUGGGCAAUGGGCGAAAGCCUGGCGCAGCGACGCCGCGCGUGUGACGAAGGUCCUCGGAUCGUAAAGCUCUCUUACUAGGGAAGAACAGAUGUGUACUUAUACGUGGCCGUAUUGACGGUACCGAAUAAAGAAGCACCGGCUAACUACGUG
Molecule: ribosomal RNA, 497 nt
Filed under: uncultured bacterium
Lineage: Bacteria
Description: partial 16S ribosomal RNA
Rfam family: Bacterial small subunit ribosomal RNA
Source: RNAcentral